Long non-coding RNA from Tachysurus fulvidraco (yellow catfish), 1769 nucleotides. RefSeq lists it as uncharacterized. NCBI's taxonomy places the organism in Eukaryota, Metazoa, Chordata, Actinopteri, Siluriformes, Bagridae. The transcript is spliced from 2 exons. The record is from RefSeq and is a predicted model, not a curated record.
UUUCCCCAUGUGCACACUAUUUUAUACUGCAUUCUCUGGAGGCUUUUCAGUGGUGUGUGUGUGUGUGUGUGUGUGUGUGUGUGUGUGUGUGUGUGUGUGUGUGUGUGUGUGUGUGUGUGUGUGUGUGUGUGUGUGUGUGUGUGUGUGUGUGUGUGUGUAGACUCUGUGUAGUGACGGAGUGUAAGUUUAACUCAUCACACUGACACAUUCAGGCAGGAAGUCUGCAGCCUCACAGAGCUGUCGGAAACAUCUACCACACCUGAACUCCUUCUGUUUAACUAUUCAUUCUUAAUUUGCUGCUGCUUGUGUAUUUGUUCUGUUUGAUCCAGUGCAAUUUAAUCACAUUCAAUCUGUGUUUCCGGGCCCCGAACGCCGCCUGAGAGGGCCGAGGUUUCAGAUCAGUGCAACAUGCCAAGCUUCAGACGCCUCGCUAUGAUUGUUUUUGUUGAGUCUGAAGUCAUCUGUGACUGAGGUAUUUUGAAACCCUGCACAUGGCUCAGCGGUGUUUGUGCAGCAGGUAACAAUCCCUCCUUUAAGGCCCGUGUGGUCCAGUUGGAUAUUUGAACAGGUGUGUGAAUUUUAAGAGGGAAGUACGAAUAGUUGUGUGGUUGAAUAGACCACUCAGACCUCCUCCCAAUGGAGCAGGCAUUUUUGGAAAUCAGUGUUAGCACAUUUUUCAUGUCUUGACUGAAAAACAACUUUUUUUUCUUUUAAAAUAACAAGAUGCAUGAAUGUGAACUAUCGAGUAGAACACAAUAGGACGUCUUACACACACGAGAGUUUAAACGGUGUUUAGUUUGUUUUAAAGUUGUUGAACCUCACACAUUAUUACAACACGAUUUAAGUAACUGCUAGCGGUGUUUGUGGCUCAGCACUCGUCACAGAGACCAGACAGAUGGACAGCAAGUAACUGUUUAAUCUCCAUCUUUAACUGGAAACAUAAACACUGCAGGUUUAAUCAUCAGCUUUAGCUCAGCGCUGUGUGUCUGUUACACAUUACAUUAAAUAAGAACAUAAACACUUCUUACUGAGGUUUUGUUACUUGACAUCUACACAAGAUGACACUUCUAACUCUUCACAGGAAACUCAGAUCACGACGAGAAUAACCUGCUACUUUAUUUGAGAAUGAUGUAAUACUGGUUUAAAGAUAUAUGUCUAUUAUAAGCAUCUGGAGGAGCGAGUGCAGUGGAAAAAUAAAGGGAAACAAUCACUAACAUAAUAUUCUUACUCGUACCUCUAUUUCCAUCAGAGGUCUCACUACAGUGUAAACAACAGAACUUAUUCGAUCUGAACACACUGUUCCAUGAUGGAGGCGAGAUGUUUCAAGGCUUUAACCACUUCUCUAACCACUACUGCAACGAUCAUCUCGUGUGUUUCCAUCCGAGUGCAGCAGAAGCAAUCAAACUCCAACAUUCACCUCCAACGCCACACAGGAAGCUACUGCAGUUCUGAUCCGACACAUCUGUGUACACAUCUCCCAGAACAAAUCUGCACAUGCAGAAAGAAGAGGAACCGAGAGGAAGAUCCCGAAAUCAGGGCCACUCCCUCUGUCCUGCCUCUAGGGAGGGGAUUCGUCGGAUCUGAGACAUAUGCGGGAAGUGGAGGCGCUGUGCGAGAAACACAAAGGUUGCCUUUCAGCUCCAACAGGAUCUGAAACCAAACCCCACCGCCCACCCGCCUGCCUCGGCCUCCUCCACCUUCCUGUCCCCUCCAUCUGUAAACCCACUUCCUCUCAAAAAAAAUAAAAAACGAAUGAUUUGGAACAGUAA